CCUACGGGUGGCAGCAGUGAGGAAUAUUGGUCAAUGGGCGUAAGCCUGAACCAGCCAAGUCGCGUGAGGGAUGAAGGUUCUAUGGAUCGUAAACCUCUUUUAUAAGGGAAUAAAGUGCGGGACGUGUCCCGUUUUGUAUGUACCUUAUGAAUAAGGAUCGGCUAACUCCGUGCCAGCAGCCGCGGUAAUACGGAGGAUCCGAGCGUUAUCCGGAUUUAUUGGGUUUAAAGGGUGCGUAGGCGGCCUUUUAAGUCAGCGGUGAAAGUCUGUGGCUCAACCAUAGAAUUGCCGUUGAAACUGGGAGGCUUGAGUGUGUUUGAGGCAGGCGGAAUGCGUGGUGUAGCGGUGAAAUGCUUAGAUAUCACGCAGAACCCCGAUUGCGAAGGCAGCCUACCGGGCCAUGACUGACGCUGAUGCACGAAAGCGUGGGUAUCAAACAGGAUUAGAUACCCCUGUAGUC
RNAcentral lists this ribosomal RNA (460 nucleotides) under uncultured bacterium. RNAcentral's name for it is "partial 16S ribosomal RNA". It matches the Rfam family "Bacterial small subunit ribosomal RNA", at positions 338 to 795 of the family's 1533-position model. The record is from RNAcentral.